CUCACAUAUUCACACACACAACACCUAAAACACACACUACACACGCCAUUUUCCAUUUAAGCUUGGACGGAGCUUUUGACCUCCGAUUUGAGCACCGAGACGAGCACCGAUCAUCUUUUCGAUCACGUAUCUAAGUAGGUCCUUUUGGGAAGUAACGACUUGAGGGAGAGAGUGACGUUACUCAUUGAUACAGAGACACAACGAGGUUGAGCUGAUGUGAUGAUGGUGCUGCAAUGAGCGGAGUCUCCAGGGUUGUUAAUAAAUAGUUAACAUGUCUAGAAUAUGUCUUCAUACGUAUGUCUAGCUACUUUCCGCUGCAAGAUGUUGUUGAUGUUAUAGUAUGUUAUGUCA
Long non-coding RNA from Salvia miltiorrhiza (redroot sage), 351 nucleotides. RefSeq lists it as uncharacterized. Lineage: Eukaryota; Viridiplantae; Streptophyta; Magnoliopsida; Lamiales; Lamiaceae. The record is from RefSeq and is a predicted model, not a curated record. The transcript has 3 exons.